AUGGUUGCCAUGUGCCUUCUUCUCCAGCUUCUGCCACUAGGUUCUGGGGUGAAACAGCCCCCCGACGUGCUCGUGGCUGAGGGCCUGAAUACGACCCUGCGCUGCUCCCAGAUCAGCACCUCCUACAACAGCAUGCUCUGGUACCUCCAGAGACACGGCCAGAAGCACCUCACUCUAAUAGUCCACGCAUACGUCAACAUGGUGACUGUGAGUGAGGGGUUGGAGGUCAGAUACUCAGCCACACGACACGGGACUGCACUGGAUCUCACUGUGACAACGGCCAACAGCUCAGUCACCGGGGUCUACUUCUGUGUCAAACAGGAAGCACAGUGGUAG
Molecule: non-coding RNA, 336 nt
Organism: Hypomesus transpacificus
Lineage: Eukaryota; Metazoa; Chordata; Actinopteri; Osmeriformes; Osmeridae
Source: the annotation of a RefSeq genome assembly